UGAAAUAUAUUAUUUGUAUUAAUGAUGUCAUAUUAAAAAUAAAUACAUAAAUAUCAUAUUACAAGUUUUAAUGUAAAAUAUUAUCCUAUAAAACUUACACCAACAUAUCCAUGGUAGAAAAAAUAUUUGUAUCAAUGGUCAUCUUAGUGAUCCCUUUUAUCAUCCAACUUGAACAUGUCUUCCUUGAUGGCCUAUUGUAUGGAUUUCCAAAAGACUAGGCACUUAGUCUU
Molecule: long non-coding RNA, 230 nt
Filed under: Lathyrus oleraceus (garden pea)
Lineage: Eukaryota; Viridiplantae; Streptophyta; Magnoliopsida; Fabales; Fabaceae
Description: Pisum sativum (pea) long non-coding RNA (PSAT_LNC031082)
Source: RNAcentral